GGCUCAGAGGAUAAAGCAUCUGCCUGCAAUGCAGGAGACCCAGGUUCGAUCCCUGG
This is a transfer RNA of Ovis aries (sheep), 56 nucleotides long. It matches the Rfam family "tRNA", at positions 9 to 63 of the family's 71-position model. Rfam says of the family: Transfer RNA (tRNA) molecules are approximately 80 nucleotides in length. Their secondary structure includes four short double-helical elements and three loops (D, anti-codon, and T loops). Further hydrogen bonds mediate the characteristic L-shaped molecular structure. tRNAs have two regions of fundamental functional importance: the anti-codon, which is responsible for specific mRNA codon recognition, and the 3' end, to which the tRNAs corresponding amino acid is attached (by aminoacyl-tRNA synthetases). tRNAs cope with the degeneracy of the genetic code in two manners: having more than one tRNA (with a specific anti-codon) for a particular amino acid; and 'wobble' base-pairing, i.e. permitting non-standard base-pairing at the 3rd anti-codon position. The record is from Rfam. Lineage: Eukaryota; Metazoa; Chordata; Mammalia; Artiodactyla; Bovidae.